Molecule: non-coding RNA, 148 nt
Organism: Nomascus leucogenys (northern white-cheeked gibbon)
Lineage: Eukaryota; Metazoa; Chordata; Mammalia; Primates; Hylobatidae
Rfam family: Metazoan signal recognition particle RNA
About the family: The signal recognition particle (SRP) is a universally conserved ribonucleoprotein. It is involved in the co-translational targeting of proteins to membranes. The eukaryotic SRP consists of a 300-nucleotide 7S RNA and six proteins: SRPs 72, 68, 54, 19, 14, and 9.
Source: Rfam
GCCAGGCUUGGUGGUGCACACCUGUAAUCCCAGCUACUUGGGAGGCUGAGGUGGGAGGAUUGCUUGAGCCCGGGAGUUGGAGGUUGCAGUGAGCCAUAAUAAUGCCACUGCACUCCAGCAUGGGCUACAGAGUGAGAUCCCGUCUCAA